RNAcentral lists this long non-coding RNA (1866 nucleotides) under Lupinus angustifolius (narrow-leaved blue lupine). RNAcentral describes it as "long non-coding RNA (LANG_LNC001948)". Lineage: Eukaryota; Viridiplantae; Streptophyta; Magnoliopsida; Fabales; Fabaceae. The record is from RNAcentral.
UUGUGAUGUUGGUAAUUCAUGUUCAUUUUAUUCCAUCUAUUUCUACAACAUAAGCUAUUAAGAACAAUUAAAAACAAUUCCAUUAUUGAUGGAUAUUGCCCACUUACAAGGAAUAAAAACAAUGUUAUUUCUUACAAUAUAAGCAAUUAAGAACAAUGUUAUUUGUAUCAACUUUAAAAAGCAAUUUGUUAAACCAUAAUAUCUCAUCGUGAAUAUCAUCUUGAUAUCUAAGUAUGUAACAUUCAUCCAAUAAGUAAAACACUAUAUAUCACAAUGUCAAAAGACUGCAACUUCACUUAUAUCUAUAUCUUGUGCCAAAGGACCUACAAAGUUAUGCUAUAAGAUGUGAGGACCUACCAAUCAUUUGGUAUUUUCCUCUAGUAGAAAUAAAGAAAAGCUUUUAUAACCACUAAGUGGUAACAACUACACACAUAGUUAUCAAACAUCAAGCUACCAAGCAUAUGCAAUCGCACCAAGCAUAGUCCUUCUCAUAUAUAUGCAAUCAGAUUAAAAUGGACUUGAAAAUCAAUGGAAUAUUUAAUAACAUCAUCAUGGUUUAAAUUCUCUUAUCCAAACAAAGGAAGCUACUAUUUUGUUCCUUUUGCUUAGAUUUGCCUUCGGGUUAGUGUCUUUGUUACUGAAAUAUAGGGCAAGCCUUAAGGGUGGGUCAUGUUAAAUAAAGAAAACUUUGAUUGACGGAACAUGGUGUUCAUGAAGAUAUAAAAAAGCAAAUGCACAAGUAAGAAAACAGUCCAUCUUAGUGAGUAGUGAGUAGUGACUAGUGAGAGCAUAAGUAAGAAAGUAGUUCAUUGUAGUGAGUAGUAAGCGCAUAUUCUUUAAAAUCAGUCGCAAAAUACAUGUAACAUACACUCUUAACAUUGUAUUACUCCACUCAACUUAAAAUAUAUGAAAUCAAAGUCAAGUAGUUUUUAGUAUGUAAAUAGUCUUUACCUAUGUAAAAUUACAUCUCUUGUUUUCUUAAUUUACCAUCAAUUGGUAAAAAAUAUAUGAUAUGUUGGACAAUGUCACAAGAAGCAUAUCUAAUGUUGCUUCUACUGUCGCUUCUUUACUUUGUGCCAACAAUUUCAUAUGGCAAGUGGAUAACGGAAAAAACCCAAUCAAUUAAGAGGGAAAAAGAAAGGUGGGUAUAGUUUGAUAAAAUUGGAUUAUAAUGUAUAGACCUUAGUACCUUACAAAGUUACAACUAGAGAUAUUAUAGUCAUGAAUUAAGGUUAGUGCUGCUUACUAACCCACCACUUCAAGUGCCAAGCUUAUCCACUUGGUUGCAGAAAGAUAUACAAAAAUAUCCAAUUAUCAUUACAAUAGUUAGAUAUUAGAUGCACUAGUUAGAUAUAAAGAUUGGAAGGCAUUAAAAUAUUAGAUGAUACCAUUACAAUAUUACACACACUCUCUCUGCUUUGAAGUAUCUUCAUUGCAUAAGGUAAUGGUGGAUGAUUGAAGAUGCUAUGUUAUGGUAUUACCUAAAUUAGUAAAUUAGGUUUUUCUCCCUUAAUGAGUAAGAGUGCAGUAUUACCUCAAAACCUGCUGAUCUGGAAAUGGAAGAAGAGAAUCACAAAACCGGUGGAAGGGAAUGAAAAGGAAUGAACAGAACUAGUGGAAGGGAUUGGAAUCGAGAUGAUGCACGUGUGGAAGGGACUAGACGGAGAUGAAGCACCAGUGGAAGCCUCGAUCUGGAAAAGAAGUGAAGAAAGUGUGAACCGUGUAGAUGAUUGACCUUGAACAAUUGAAGGAGAAAAUUAAAGGUGGGUUGAAGAAGGGUUGAUGAAGUGUGUAGAUGAUGGAGAUGAAUCAUGUAUGAAAAUUGAGAAGUUAAAACUUAAAACUUAAAACCCUCUUCCCUUAAAC